RNAcentral lists this ribosomal RNA (641 nucleotides) under uncultured bacterium. RNAcentral describes it as "bacterial SSU rRNA". It matches the Rfam family "Bacterial small subunit ribosomal RNA", at positions 32 to 670 of the family's 1533-position model. The record is from RNAcentral.
AACGCUGGCGGCAUGCUUUACACAUGCAAGUCGAACGGCAGCGCGGGGCAACCUGGCGGCGAGUGGCGAACGGGUGAGUAAUAUAUCGGAACGUACCCAGAAGUGGGGGAUAACGUAGCGAAAGUUACGCUAAUACCGCAUACGAUCUACGGAUGAAAGUGGGGGAUCGCAAGACCUCAUGCUUUUGGAGCGGCCGAUAUCUGAUUAGCUAGUUGGUGAGGUAAAGGCUCACCAAGGCGACGAUCAGUAGCUGGUCUGAGAGGACGACCAGCCACACUGGGACUGAGACACGGCCCAGACUCCUACGGGAGGCAGCAGUGGGGAAUUUUGGACAAUGGGCGCAAGCCUGAUCCAGCAAUGCCGCGUGAGUGAAGAAGGCCUUCGGGUUGUAAAGCUCUUUUGUCAGGGAAGAAACGGCCGAGGCUAAUACCUUUGGCUAAUGACGGUACCUGAAGAAUAAGCACCGGCUAACUACGUGCCAGCAGCCGCGGUAAUACGUAGGGUGCAAGCGUUAAUCGGAAUUACUGGGCGUAAAGCGUGCGCAGGCGGUUUUGUAAGUCUGACGUGAAAUCCCCGGGCUUAACCUGGGAAUUGCGUUGGAGACUGCAAGGCUGGAGUCUGGCAGAGGGGGGUAGAAUUCC